Molecule: ribosomal RNA, 390 nt
Filed under: uncultured bacterium
Lineage: Bacteria
Description: bacterial SSU rRNA
Rfam family: Bacterial small subunit ribosomal RNA
Source: RNAcentral
GACGAACGCUGGCGGCGUGCUUAACACAUGCAAGUCGAGCGGUAAGGCCCUUUCGGGGGUACACGAGCGGCGAACGGGUGAGUAACACGUGGGUGACCUGCCCUCAGCUCCGGGAUAAGCCUGGGAAACCGGGUCUAAUACCGGAUAUGACUCCAUGACGCAUGUUGUGGGGUGGAAAGCCUUGUGCGGCUGAGGAUGGGCCCGCGGCCUAUCAGCUUGUUGGUGGGGUGAUGGCCACCAAGGCGACGACGGGUAGCCGGCCUGAGAGGGCGACCGGCCACACUGGGACUGAGACACGGCCCAGACUCCUACGGGAGGCAGCAGUGGGGAAUCUUGCGCAAUGGGCGAAAGCCUGACGCAGCGACGCCGCGUGAGGGAUGACGGCCUCGG